RNAcentral lists this ribosomal RNA (465 nucleotides) under uncultured bacterium. RNAcentral's name for it is "partial 16S ribosomal RNA". It matches the Rfam family "Bacterial small subunit ribosomal RNA", at positions 338 to 795 of the family's 1533-position model. The record is from RNAcentral.
CCUACGGGAGGCUGCAGUAGGGAAUCUUGCACAAUGCGCGAAAGCCUGAUGCAGCAACGCCGCGUGGGUGAAGAAGGCCUUCGGAUCGUAAAACCCUGUCGUUAGAGAAGAAAGUGCGUGAGAGUAACUGUUUAUGUUUCGACGGUACCUAACUAGAAAGCCACGGCUAACUCCGUGCCAGCAGCCGCGGUAAUACGGAGGUGGCAAGCGUUAUCCGGAUUGAUUGGGCGUAAAGGGAACGUAGGCGGUCUUGUAAGUCAGAUGUCAAAGCCUAGGGCUCAACUUGAGUAGUGCAUGGGAUACUAUGAGACUUGAGUGCAGGAGAGGAGAGUAGAACUCCAUGUGUAGCGGUGAAAUGCGUAGAUAUAUGGAAGAACACCAGUAGCGAAGGCGGCUAUCUGGUCUGAAACUGACGCUGAGGUGCGAAAGCGUGGGUAGCAAACAGGAUUAGAUACCCGGGUAGUC